This 2224-nucleotide ribosomal RNA is filed under the name human oral metagenome. Its description in RNAcentral is "bacterial LSU rRNA". It matches the Rfam family "Bacterial large subunit ribosomal RNA", at positions 266 to 2496 of the family's 2925-position model. The record is from RNAcentral.
CGCCCAAACCGGGGGGGUCUUCGGGCCCCCCCGGGGUAGUAGGGCCCACGGGAGCGCGCGGCCGGCGGGGCCGAAGCGGCUGGAAGGCCGCCCCGCAGGGGGUGAGAGGCCCGUAGGCGGAGGCGGGCCGCGCGCGGUGGGGACCCUGAGUAGGGCGGGGCCCGAGGACCCCCGCCCGAAGCGGCCGGGACCACCCGGCAAGGCGGACUACUCCCGGGAGACCGAUAGCGAACCAGUACCGUGAGGGAAAGGUGAAAAGCACCAGGGGGGUGAAAGAGACCCUGAAACCGUGCGCCCGCGAGCGGUCGGGGCCCCCGCGAGGGGGUGACGGCGUGCCUUUUGCAUAAUGAGCCUACGAGUCGCGCCGGCCGGCGAGGUUAACCCCCUGGAGGGGGGGAGCCGUAGCGAAGGCGGGUCCCGCGAGGGCGGGAGUCGGCCGGCGCGGGCGCGAAACUUUGCGAUCUACCCACGGCCAGGCUGAAGGCCCGGUGAAGCGGGCUGGAGGGCCGAACCGUUGCGCGUUGAAAAGCGCUCGGAUGAGCCGUGGGUAGGGGUGAAAGGCCAAUCAAGCUGAGAGAUAGCUCGUACUCCCCGAAAUGCCUUUAGGGGCAGCCUCGGGGCAGCCGCGCGGAGGUAGAGCGACCGGUCGGGCGCGAGGGCUUCGCCGCCUAUCAAGCCCCGCCGAACUCCGAAUGCCGCGCGGCGGUCCCCGGGAGUGAGCCGGCGGGUGCUAAUGCCCGCCGACGAGAGGGGAAGAACCCGGACCAGCGGCCAAGGCCCCCGAGCGCGCGCUAAGUUGGCCGAACGCGGUCCGGCCGCCUGGACAGCCAGGACGUUGGCUCGGAAGCAGCCACCCGUCCAAGGAGUGCGUAACAGCUCACUGGUCGAGCGGCCGGGCACGGAUAAUGAGCGGGCAUCAAGCGCGCCGCCGAAGCCCUGGGGGCGCGGGCGAGAGGCCCGCGCGCGGUAGGGGAGCAUUCCCGCCCGCGGGGAAGGCGGGCCGCGAGGCCGGCUGGAGCGGCGGGAAGGGCCGAUGUAGGCAUGAGUAGCGACAACGCCGGCGGGAAACCGGCGCACCGAUAGGCCCAGGGUUCCUGAUCAACGCUAAUCGGAUCAGGGUGAGCCGGGGCCUAAGGCUAAGGCGAGGGCCGACGCCGAUGGGGAGCGGGUGGAGAUUCCCGCGCUGCCCGCGGCCGCGACGGGGUGACGGAGGUGUGGCAGCCGCGCCGGGUGACGGACGUCCCGGCCGAAGGGGGUAGGUAGAGGCCCGGGGCAACGCCCGGGCCUGCCGAGCCUGAGAGCGCCGCGCGCCCCCGGGCGCGCGGUCAAGCGGCGUAAGCGAGCUCCCGAGAAAAGCCCCUAAGCGACAGGCCGCGGGCACCCGUACCGCAAACCGACACAGGUGGCCGAGGAGAGGAUCCUGAGGUGCUCGAGUGAUUCACGGCCAAGGAACUAGGCAAACUGGCCCCGUAACUUCGGGAGAAGGGGCCCCCCGCGGCGACGCGGGGGCGCAGCGAAGCGGCCCAGGCGACUGUUUAGCAAAAACCCAUGGCUCUGCCAAGCCGAGAGGCGACGUAUAGGGCCUGACACCUGCCCGGUGCCGGAAGGUCAAGGGGGGGCGUGAACCCUUCGGGGGGCAGCGCCGAGCCGAAGCCCCGGUAAACGGCGGCCGUAACUAUAACGGUCCUAAGGUAGCGAAAUUCCUUGUCGGGUAAGUUCCGACCUGCACGAAUGGUGUAACGAUCUGGGCGCUGUCUCGGCCGUGAGCUCGGCGAAAUUGAAGUCGCGGUGAAGAUGCCGCGUACCCGCAGCGGGACGGAAAGACCCCGUGAACCUUUACUGCAGCUCCGCGCUGCGCCGGGGCCCGCGCCGCGUAGGAUAGGCCGGAGGCUAGGAGCCGCCCCCCCCGGGGGGCGGGGAGCCGCCGUUGAAAUACGGCCCUGCGCGGGCCCGGGCGCUAACCCCCCUGGGGGGGGGGACACCGCGCGGCGGGUAGUUUGACUGGGGUGGUCGCCUCCCAAAGGGUAACGGAGGCUCCCCAAGGUGCCCUCAGCGCGGAUGGCAAUCGCGCGGCGAGUGCAAUGGCACAAGGGCGCUUGACCGCGAGGCCGACGGGCCGAGCGGGUGCGAAAGCAGGGCAUAGUGAUCCGGUGGCGCCGUGUGGAAGGGCCAUCGCGCAAAGGAUAAAAGGUACUCCGGGGAUAACAGGCUGAUCGCCCCCGAG